CCUACGGUAGGCAGCAGUGAGGAAUAUUGGUCAAUGGACGCAAGUAGGAACCAGCCAUGCCGCGUGCAGGAUGACGGCUCUAUGAGUUGUAAACUGAUUUUGUACGAGGGUAAACCCCGAUACGUGUAUCGGGGUGAAAGUAUCGUACGAAUAAGGAUAGGCUAACUACGUGCCAGAAGCCGCGGUAAGACGGAGGAUCCGAGCGUUAUCCGGAGUUAUUGGGGUUAAAGGGUGCGUAGGCGGUUUGAUAAGUUAGAGGUGAAAUGUCGGGGCUCAACCCCGAAACGUCCUCUAAUACUGUUGGACUAGAGAAUAGUUGCGGUAGGCGGAAUGUAUGGUGUAGCGGUGAAAUGCUUAGAGAUCAUACAGAACACCGAUUGCGAAGGCAGCUUACCAAACUAUAUCUGACGUUGAGGCACGAAAGCGUGGGUAGCAAACAGGAUUAGAUACCCUGGUAGUC
This 460-nucleotide ribosomal RNA is filed under the name uncultured bacterium. RNAcentral's name for it is "partial 16S ribosomal RNA". It matches the Rfam family "Bacterial small subunit ribosomal RNA", at positions 338 to 795 of the family's 1533-position model. The record is from RNAcentral.